Molecule: ribosomal RNA, 492 nt
Filed under: uncultured bacterium
Lineage: Bacteria
Description: partial 16S ribosomal RNA
Rfam family: Bacterial small subunit ribosomal RNA
Source: RNAcentral
AGUGAACGCUGGCGGUAGGCCUAACACAUGCAAGUCGAACGGCAGCACAGUAAGAGCUUGCUCUUACGGGUGGCGAGUGGCGGACGGGUGAGGAAUACAUCGGAAUCUACUUUUUCGUGGGGGAUAACGUAGGGAAACUUACGCUAAUACCGCAUACGACCUACGGGUGAAAGCAGGGGAUCUUCGGACCUUGCGCGAUUGAAUGAGCCGAUGUCGGAUUAGCUAGUUGGCGGGGUAAAGGCCCACCAAGGCGACGAUCCGUAGCUGGUCUGAGAGGAUGAUCAGCCACACUGGAACUGAGACACGGUCCAGACUCCUACGGGAGGCAGCAGUGGGGAAUAUUGGACAAUGGGCGCAAGCCUGAUCCAGCAAUGCCGCGUGGGUGAAGAAGGCCUUCGGGUUGUAAAGCCCUUUUGUUGGGAAAGAAAAGCAGCAGGUUAAUACCCCGCUGUUCUGACGGUACCCAAAGAAUAAGCACCGGCUAACUUCGUG